This 223-nucleotide ribosomal RNA is filed under the name uncultured Pseudomonas sp. RNAcentral describes it as "partial 16S ribosomal RNA". It matches the Rfam family "Bacterial small subunit ribosomal RNA", at positions 1161 to 1382 of the family's 1533-position model. The record is from RNAcentral. Lineage: Bacteria; Pseudomonadati; Pseudomonadota; Gammaproteobacteria; Pseudomonadales; Pseudomonadaceae.
AACCGGAGGAAGUGGGGAUGACGUCAAGUCAUCAUGGCCCUUACGGCCUGGGCUACACACGUGCUACGAAUAGGUCGGUACAAAGGGUUGCCAAGCCGCGAGGUGGAGCUAAUCCCAUAAAACCGAUCGUAGUCCGGAUCGCAGUCUGCAACUCGACUGCGUGAAGUCGGAAUCGCUAGUAAUCGUGAAUCAGAAUGUCACGGUGAAUACGUUCCCGGGCCUU